RNAcentral lists this ribosomal RNA (158 nucleotides) under Ilyonectria macroconidialis. RNAcentral's name for it is "5.8S ribosomal RNA". It matches the Rfam family "5.8S ribosomal RNA". From Rfam's summary of the family: 5.8S ribosomal RNA (5.8S rRNA) is a component of the large subunit of the eukaryotic ribosome. It is transcribed by RNA polymerase I as part of the 45S precursor that also contains 18S and 28S rRNA. Lineage: Eukaryota; Fungi; Ascomycota; Sordariomycetes; Hypocreales; Nectriaceae. The record is from RNAcentral.
AAACUUUCAACAACGGAUCUCUUGGCUCUGGCAUCGAUGAAGAACGCAGCGAAAUGCGAUAAGUAAUGUGAAUUGCAGAAUUCAGUGAAUCAUCGAAUCUUUGAACGCACAUUGCGCCCGCGAGUAUUCUCGCGGGCAUGCCUGUCCGAGCGUCAUUU